CCCUACGGGACGCAGCAGUGGGGAAUAUUGGGCAAUGGGCGCAAGCCUGACCCAGCAACGCCGCGUGAAGGAAGAAGGCUUUCGGGUUGUAAACUUCUUUUAUGAGGGACGAAAGAAAUGACGGUACCCCAUGAAUAAGCCACGGCUAACUACGUGCCAGCAGCCGCGGUAAUACGUAGGUGGCAAGCGUUAUCCGGAUUUACUGGGUGUAAAGGGCGUGUAGGCGGGGAAGCAAGUCAGAUGUGAAAACCACGGGCUCAACCUGUGGCCUGCAUUUGAAACUGUUUUUCUUGAGU
This 296-nucleotide ribosomal RNA is filed under the name uncultured bacterium. RNAcentral describes it as "partial 16S ribosomal RNA". It matches the Rfam family "Bacterial small subunit ribosomal RNA", at positions 337 to 647 of the family's 1533-position model. The record is from RNAcentral.